AGCAACUCUUUCAUCCAAAAAUGUAUUAGUGCUACCACUACCUACAAGAAUCACCAGUUGCCUAUCUUUGUAUCUCCCAAGAAGUUUGAUAGUGUCUAUACCCUGACUACCCUCAAUUGCAUGAACUGAAAGGGUCCUUUUAGGUUGGUCUUUAUGUAAUUCCUCAUUUGCCAUAAGCACUAUUCCUUCCUCUAUAGCCUCUUCCACACUCUCCUGAUCAUGCUCCUCCAAUUGCAUAGCUAGGGUUGUUUUAGGCUUAAAUUGGUGGCUUGGAAAAAAUUUAUCUCCACAUCUAUAACAAGUUCUAGCUGAUUUAGAAUUAAAAUCAAGGUUUGGUUGAUUGUUCCUGGUUGUACUUUGGUUGACAGAACUGGUAAUUGCAAUAGAAGUAGGUUUUGCAGAAUUUGCGGAGAUGGUUUUAUCUCCACUUGCCUCUCUCCAUCGGGGCGUGCCUCGCCCUGGUGAGGCUGGACAACCUCGUCUCACGCCUCACCCAGCGCCUUUGCUCGCCUUCAAUAACACUCUAUGGACCUGAUAGAGAACAAUGAUUUCUUCAACCCUUUUUCCUUGUUUUAAUUGGGUUUGUUGGUUACACCCUUCUUCCAUAUUUCAAAAGCAUAUGUUACUCGUUGCGUUCUGCUGCUUCCUGUAAUGUGCUAGGAUUAUCUUUAGAUUUUGUUAUCUCUUUUUUCAGUUCUUUUUUAUUUUUAUUGUUAUAAUUUUGUGGUAAUUAAUGUUUUGUUGUUUUGCAAUAGAUUUCAUGCGAAUUUCGACUGUUUACAAUUGAUGAUUUGAGAUUUGAGAGGUUGAAAAAUUUUGCAUUCUGUUAUUCUAUGGAAUGGCCUAGAACCCUAGAACCGAAUAACCAAACCAUUUUGUUUUGAUUCAAUUCAAUUUUUCUAUAUAAUUAGGUUCGUUUUAUAAAAUUUUCUAUUUUGGUUUGGUUCGGUUUGAAAUCAAACCUACCGUUUGCUCAGCCCUUUUCCUUAUGUUUAAAUGAAAAAAGAUAGAUGAAAGAAUUUAUUGUUAUUUGGGAAAAUAAGAGAAUUAGGAAGAGAAAGACAAGGCAUUUAUUGUGAUGGUAGGAUUUUUCCAAUAACAUGCACUGGCAAUGUUCUUUAGGAUUAUGAGUAGUGUAACAGAAGUACAGUGGUGACUUGACUCUAAUUUAGAUAGUGAGAGGACCGAAAGUUCAGCCCAUUGACUAUCCUCUUAAUUCGUGCUUCCUAUUUUCUCAUAAGCACACUGGCAGCUUAGGUUAUUGGGCUCAUUGCCAGGUCAGUGUGUAGGUGCUGUCUUAUAUUAAGAAGAUUACGAUAUCAACGUGUUUAUCAAAAGAAGAGUGACAAAAGGAUCCUGGUAUUAAUCAUUCACAUCAAUCUGCCAUCCUGGAUAGCAUGAAGUAAUUUUACUUUAUUGUGUUGAUGUUAUGUUAUGCAUUUGCAUGAUUCUUUGAUAAUUUGAGUUUUGAAGAAGGGUUCCCUGUUCUCACUAUUUGAUGGUGGUCUACUUAUAAUAUUCUGCAAUUAAGAUAACGUAGUUUGCUUCAUCAUUAGCAAGUCCUUGUCAAAUAUAUCCAGGACUAAUCUAUACGUGAGCUGAAUUAUGUUUGAGGUUUUAUGAUUCUUUGGCUUUUUGAGAGAGAGUUUUGAAGAACCAUGAUGUCUGUUUGCCUUUCUUCUGUGGUUUUCUCUAGACCUGCCAUGGCAUGAGCUGUCUAAUUUUGUUCAUAGAGAUUAUGAAGGCUUAUACUACUUCUCCUAACUUGCUUUCUAGAAUUAUAUAUCCUCCUGUAAAUC
RNAcentral lists this unclassified non-coding RNA (1799 nucleotides) under Hevea brasiliensis (rubber tree). Lineage: Eukaryota; Viridiplantae; Streptophyta; Magnoliopsida; Malpighiales; Euphorbiaceae. The record is from RNAcentral.